MicroRNA precursor from Oryza rufipogon (brownbeard rice), 210 nucleotides. It matches the Rfam family "MIR812 microRNA precursor family". The record is from Rfam. Lineage: Eukaryota; Viridiplantae; Streptophyta; Magnoliopsida; Poales; Poaceae.
AAUAAAUACAGUUUUACACUAUUCAUCUCCAACGUUUUGAACAUUCAUCUUAUUUAAAAAAAUUUUAUGAUUAUUAUUUUUAUUAUUAUUAGAUGAUAAAACAUUAAUAGUACUUUAUGUGUGACUAAUUUUUUAAAAAAAAUUUCAUAAAAUUUUUAAAUAAAUCGGAUGGUUAAACGUUGGACACGGAUUUCCACGGCUGCACUUAUU